This 667-nucleotide long non-coding RNA is filed under the name Gallus gallus (chicken). The record is from RNAcentral. Lineage: Eukaryota; Metazoa; Chordata; Aves; Galliformes; Phasianidae.
CAAGAGGCCACUGUCAAGCAUUCCUUGGAAAGCAGCAACAGCAUCUUUCAAAUAAUCCCGCCUAACUUGCGAUAUGAUGAGGAGGCUGCUGGCAGCACUGUUCAGUGUGAAGCCCUUGAUGUGGGUCUCAGCAGUGUGCUUCACUUUCAUGGCUUCUUCAAUACAAUCCAGAGAUAACAACGCUUUUAUGAGGGUGUCAUAAGUACGAUACUGGUAGUCGCUCUUCCCUUGAUUCUUCAGAAAAACAUUGUAGGCCUCUCUUGCACUGUUUUUCUUACAAAGCAUCCUUAUUUUUCGUUCUUCAAUAUCAGAAGAUCCUGGACUUCUCAUUUCUUCUUGUCUAGUCUUAGGUACCUCAAAUGGGACAACUUGACCAUUUUUCUCAAAUAUAUCAGCCAGUAAUCUUAGUGUUUUCUCACGAGGAACAACAUUUUCUUCUUGAAUUUUAGUCCAAACAGCUUCAGCUCUUCUCCAGUCAGAGUUGUUAUCACAAAGUUGAAGCAGGUAGUAGUACAUCUCAUCUCUAUCACAUUCAAAUACAUUCUGAGUUAAUUCUACCAAGUGCUCCAAAGUCUCCAUCUGAUUACCUGAUAUACACCUUUUUGCAAACCACUGCAAUCUUCCAGAGUGGGCUCUCAAACCAGGAGUCUCAAUAACCUUCCUGGCC